This 492-nucleotide ribosomal RNA is filed under the name uncultured bacterium. RNAcentral's name for it is "partial 16S ribosomal RNA". It matches the Rfam family "Bacterial small subunit ribosomal RNA", at positions 29 to 507 of the family's 1533-position model. The record is from RNAcentral.
AGUGAACGCUGGCGGUAGGCCUAACACAUGCAAGUCGAACGGCAGCACAGUAAGAGCUUGCUCUUACGGGUGGCGAGUGGCGGACGGGUGAGGAAUACAUCGGAAUCUACUUUUUCGUGGGGGAUAACGUAGGGAAACUUACGCUAAUACCGCAUACGACCUACGUGUGAAAGCAGGGGAUCUUCGGACCUUGCGCGAUUGAAUGAGCCGAUGUCGGAUUAGCUAGUUGGCGGGGUAAAGGCCCACCAAGGCGACGAUCCGUAGCUGGUCUGAGAGGAUGAUCAGCCACACUGGAACUGAGCAACGGUCCAGACUCCUCCGGGAGGCAGCAGUGGGGAAUAUUGGACAAUGGGCGAAAGCCUGAUCCAGCCAUACCGCGUGGGUGAAGAAGGCCUUCGGGUUGUAAAGCCCUUUUGUUGGGAAAGAAAAGCAGCAGGUUAAUACCCCGCUGUUCUGACGGUACCCAAAGAAUAAGCACCGGCUAACUUCGUG